RNA transcript from Alnus glutinosa, 2479 nucleotides. RefSeq lists it as uncharacterized. The transcript has 16 exons. The record is from RefSeq and is a predicted model, not a curated record. Lineage: Eukaryota; Viridiplantae; Streptophyta; Magnoliopsida; Fagales; Betulaceae.
CUCCAAUCGGCAAUUAGUACCAAGAGUAUGCUUAUUUAGAAAAGGCGGCAUAUCGUUGAGAAAAGUUAGUUCAGUAGCUUCAUUCAUCCGAUCCGACCCGGCUAUUAUAGUGUCAUAUUUAUGGAUGGAAUUUUAUGAUUUUUGGGGGCUAACUAAUCAAAGAAGCAGAUUCAUUUGAAGAUGUCAACGGUUGAUCCCCAAAUGUUGAGAGGCAAAGACCCUACCGAUUUCUCUCGCACUUUCAAAUACUUACUCGCUACGCAGUUCUUGUCAAGGGGAAUCCCAUUUGUAUUCAACUCAUGGAUCGUGAGGCAUCUUACAGAAGAGGACUACGCGCUUUAUGCGGUACAAUUCCAUCUUUUUGUAACCUGUGUCUUGUUUCUCAGUCGGGAGGGAUUCCGGCGAGCAUGCUUGCGGGCAGACAUCAAAAGCGAUGGCGCUUCAGUGGAAGAAAACACAGUGAAGCUAAUGAGAGUUGCUUGGUUGACUCUCCCACUUGGAGUAUUUAUAACAGUAGCGGCAUCACUUUUUGUCUUUUGGUGGCAAGAAUUAAGUUAUUCUAAUCCAUACGCGCAGGCUAUUUUGAUUAAUGGUUGUGCUUGUGUAUUAGAGCUAUUGGCAGAGCCAUUGUAUAUCCUUUCUCAGAACUUGCUUCUGCUUAAAUUGCGGUUGGUGGUUGAAACUGCAGCUACGCUUGCGCGUUGCUUAACAAUGUAUAUCCUGAUUGUCAAUCAAAUUGACACGGAGAAAGUGUUCGUAUUUGCGUUGUCACAAGCUGCAUAUGGAGCUUGCUUGUUCCUCGGCUAUUGGGGCUAUUAUCUUCUUUUUCGUGCAUUUAGAAGUUCUGAUCUUUUCCCCUUUAGAGCAGGAACUUUGAAGGAUUAUGAUAGUCAGCUGUCAAAGAUGUGUUUUCUGUUCACCCUUCAAUCCUUUCGGAAGUUGAUCCUUCAGGAAGGAGAAAAGGUGGUCCUUGUGUGGUUGGAUACACCAUAUAACCAAGCUGUGUAUGGGCUUGUAGACAAACUAGGAAGCUUAGUGGUGAGGCUAGUGUUUCUUCCUUUUGAAGAAAGUUCAUAUGCUACCUUUGCAAGGUCCGCGUCAGGACAAUAUCCAGAUAGAAGUAGGAAAUUGGGAAAUCGCCUUGCAGAGGCCCUGAAGUUAGUUAUGUUAAUUGCUGUGAAUCAUGUAGGACUUGUAUUUAUGGCAUUUGGACCAAGUUACUCUUAUUCUCUCAUCAGAUUGUUGUAUGGUCGGAAAUGGAGUGAUGGAGAAGCAUCAACAGCCCUCCAGUAUUAUUGCCUUUAUAUAAUCUUCUUGGCUAUGAAUGGAACGUCUGAAGCAUUUCUACACGCAGUUGCAACCGAGAACCAACUUAAACGCUCAAACGAUUCGUUGCUUGUUUUUUCGUUGAUUUAUAUAGUCCUGAAUGUUCUACUGAUUCGUUCAGCUGGUGCAGUUGGCUUAAUAUUGGCAAAUUCCAUAAAUAUGAUUUUGAGGAUUUUAUACUCUCUGGUAUUCAUAAAGCGUUAUUUCCAGGAUUCUUCAUUUUCCUUUUCCAGCUGCUUGCCUUCAGGAUGGACAGUUCUGUUGUUUUCAAGUGUAACUACUCUCAUUUCUGAGAAGAUAUUUUUGGAUCGUGAAAAUUUCUGGCCAACAUUUGCAAUUCAUUUUUCUAUUGGGUUGGCUUGCUUCUGCGUGUCAUCUUUUGUCAUCUACCGCCGCGAGAGGCCUUUCAUCAACAGAAUUAUCCGUUUUCGUGAUCACUCAGACUGAAGAAUUGACAUUUUCCCAACAAAUAUUAUGCGAAAACUUGACGAUGAGGGUGUUCAAGCCAAUUCCAGAACAUGUUUAUUAACAAACACCUCUGAAAUUGGUUUUGAGUUUGCAAAGAGAAGCAAAUAAUGUAUUAUAAUAGAUAUGAGCAAGAGGGCUGUUCGUUCUAUUUACAAAUUUUGGAGGCAUAUUACCGUACAGAUUUUUUUGUUUUUUUUUUUAAUUUUUGGGGGUCCAGUGACAUUGAAAUCAGUUAGAUUCUAAGAACCCGAUGCAGGAUAGGAAUAGCUUUCUAGUCAAUCAAUACGAGUUAUUUUACUAGGUUCAAAGCGGUACCGUAUUGGCAGUGGUGCUCCAAACCUAUUUGAAACAUAGAAGGAGAUAUAUGCGACUCACCUCAGGGCUGGAAUAGCUUUACCCAAAUUUGAGCCCUGUCAAGUGGAUGGAACCCGAUCCACCACAAGCACAAACCAAUCAAUAGAGAUUUCAGAUGCCUCAUGCCUGAAACCAUAGACAUUCAGCCCAAUUAACGUAACGUAAUCUAAAGUGAGUACAAAAUUAACAUGAAAUUUUGUUUUAUAUUAAAAACAAUCGAAAUCCAGAUUAACAAUAAUCUAUAUUACCUAAAAAUCGCAUGGGGAUGUCCUCCAUAUAACAAUAAAGUGAAAUUGUUGCUUCAAGUUUCGACCUUCAAAUUUGGAUGUUG